GACUGAAGGGACAGAGUCGGUUUCUGAA
Molecule: non-coding RNA, 28 nt
Filed under: Homo sapiens (human)
Lineage: Eukaryota; Metazoa; Chordata; Mammalia; Primates; Hominidae
Source: RNAcentral